Molecule: long non-coding RNA, 441 nt
Organism: Mya arenaria
Lineage: Eukaryota; Metazoa; Mollusca; Bivalvia; Myida; Myidae
Exons: 3
Source: RefSeq, a predicted model, not a curated record
UCAUAAUUUUGGUCAAAAAUAGCUAUAUACUAAGCAUUUUUUAUUUGUUUUACUUUAUUUAAAGCUUAUUGUAUAUUAUCCCGAAGUUUCAUUCCAUAAAAAACAGAAAUGAGGAAAUUCGAUAUUUCGUGUACCAUCAGCAUCCAAAUUUUCAAGUAUACAGAAAUUUAACUUUCCGGAAUAUAACGGAAAUUUUCGGGUAUCUCCGUGGUACCAUCUCCGUGCAAUUAUGCAGUAUGGCGUUCAUCUCUUACAGAAAGAGAAUGGUAACUUGAUACACUGUGUUGUGUGUGGAUAAGAAAUGCAGAGUGGUACCACCAAUCACCUAAGCCACCAUUCCCCUAACAGACAAAAGGCUCAUGGGGACAGUUCCUGCAGUUUACAGCAAAUUGUAGCCCUACAAACUUCAGAUACUGCCAAGCUUGGGUGCACUGGGCCGGU